This 810-nucleotide ribosomal RNA is filed under the name Photobacterium ganghwense. RNAcentral's name for it is "bacterial SSU rRNA". It matches the Rfam family "Bacterial small subunit ribosomal RNA", at positions 61 to 850 of the family's 1533-position model. Lineage: Bacteria; Pseudomonadati; Pseudomonadota; Gammaproteobacteria; Vibrionales; Vibrionaceae. The record is from RNAcentral.
GUCGAGCGGCAGCGACAACAUUGACCCUUCGGGGGAUUUGUUGGGCGGCGAGCGGCGGACGGGUGAGUAAUGCCUGGGAACAUGCCUUAGUGUGGGGGAUAACCAUUGGAAACGAUGGCUAAUACCGCAUAAUCUCUACGGAGCAAAGAGGGGGACCUUCGGGCCUCUCGCGCUAAGAUUGGCCCAGGUGGGAUUAGCUAGUAGGUGGGGUAACGGCUCACCUAGGCGACGAUCCCUAGCUGGUCUGAGAGGAUGAUCAGCCACACUGGAACUGAGACACGGUCCAGACUCCUACGGGAGGCAGCAGUGGGGAAUAUUGCACAAUGGGGGAAACCCUGAUGCAGCCAUGCCGCGUGUGUGAAGAAGGCCUUCGGGUUGUAAAGCACUUUCAGCAGUGAGGAAGGCGGUAUCGUUAAUAGCGGUAUCGUUUGACGUUAGCUGCAGAAGAAGCACCGGCUAACUCCGUGCCAGCAGCCGCGGUAAUACGGAGGGUGCGAGCGUUAAUCGGAAUUACUGGGCGUAAAGCGCAUGCAGGCGGCUUGUUAAGCCAGAUGUGAAAGCCCGGGGCUCAACCUCGGAAUCGCAUUUGGAACUGGCAGGCUAGAGUCUUGUAGAGGGGGGUAGAAUUUCAGGUGUAGCGGUGAAAUGCGUAGAGAUCUGAAGGAAUACCGGUGGCGAAGGCGGCCCCCUGGACAAAGACUGACGCUCAGAUGCGAAAGCGUGGGGAGCAAACAGGAUUAUAUACCCUGGUAGUCCACGCCGUAAACGAUGUCUACUUGGAGGUUGGUGUCUUGAACACUGGCUUUCGGA